GACGAACGCUGGCGGCGUGCCUAAUACAUGCAAGUAGAACGCUGAAGAGAGGAGCUUGCUCUUCUUGGAUGAGUUGCGAACGGGUGAGUAACGCGUAGGUAACCUGCCUUGUAGCGGGGGAUAACUAUUGGAAACGAUAGCUAAUACCGCAUAACAAUGGAUGACACAUGUCAUUUAUUUGAAAGGGGCAAUUGCUCCACUACAAGAUGGACCUGCGUUGUAUUAGCUAGUAGGUGAGGUAAUGGCUCACCUAGGCGACGAUACAUAGCCGACCUGAGAGGGUGAUCGGCCACACUGGGACUGAGACACGGCCCAGACUCCUACGGGAGGCAGCAGUAGGGAAUCUUCGGCAAUGGGGGCAACCCGGACCGAGCAACGCCGCGUGAGUGAAGAAGGUUUUCGGAUCGUAAAGCUCUGUUGUAAGUCAAGAACGGGUGUGAGAGUGGAAAGUUCACACUGUGACGGUAGCUUACCAGAAAGGGACGGCUAACUACGUG
Molecule: ribosomal RNA, 497 nt
Filed under: uncultured bacterium
Lineage: Bacteria
Description: partial 16S ribosomal RNA
Rfam family: Bacterial small subunit ribosomal RNA
Source: RNAcentral